AACGAACGCUGGCGGCAUGCCUAACACAUGCAAGUCGAACGAUCCCUUCGGGGAUAGUGGCGCACGGGUGCGUAACGCGUGGGAACCUGCCCUUAGGUUCGGAAUAACUCAGAGAAAUUUGAGCUAAUACCGGAUAAUGUCUUCGGACCAAAGAUUUAUCGCCUUUGGAUGGACCCGCGUUGGAUUAGCUAGUUGGUGGUGUAAAGGCCUACCAAGGCGACGAUCCAUAGCUGGUCUGAGAGGAUGAUCAGCCACACUGGGACUGAGACACGGCCCAGACUCCUACGGGAGGCAGCAGUGGGGAAUAUAGGACAAUGGGCGCAAGCAUGACCAAGCAAUGCCGCGUGAGUGAUGAAGGCCUUAGGGUUGUAAAGCUCGUUUAACCGGGAUGAUAAUGACAGUACCGGGAGAAUAAGCCCCGGCUAACUCCGUG
RNAcentral lists this ribosomal RNA (433 nucleotides) under uncultured bacterium. RNAcentral's name for it is "partial 16S ribosomal RNA". It matches the Rfam family "Bacterial small subunit ribosomal RNA", at positions 29 to 507 of the family's 1533-position model. The record is from RNAcentral.